Molecule: ribosomal RNA, 253 nt
Filed under: uncultured bacterium
Lineage: Bacteria
Description: partial 16S ribosomal RNA
Rfam family: Bacterial small subunit ribosomal RNA
Source: RNAcentral
UACGUAGGGUGCGAGCGUUGUCCGGAAUUAUUGGGCGUAAAGAGCUCGUAGGCGGCUUGUCGCGUCGGACGUGAAAGCCCGAGGCUUAACCUCGGGUCUGCAUUCGAUACGGGCAGGCUAGAGUGUGGUAGGGGAGAUCGGAAUUCCUGGUGUAGCGGUGAAAUGCGCAGAUAUCAGGAGGAACACCGGUGGCGAAGGCGGUUCUCUGGGCAUUACCUGACGCUGAGGAGCGAAAGCAUGGGGAGCGAACAGG